RNAcentral lists this long non-coding RNA (203 nucleotides) under Physcomitrium patens. Its description in RNAcentral is "long non-coding RNA (PPAT_LNC004602)". The record is from RNAcentral. Lineage: Eukaryota; Viridiplantae; Streptophyta; Bryopsida; Funariales; Funariaceae.
AACAUAAUUUUUUAAAGAGAAAUAAGAUAAGAUUAAAGAUUUAUAAAUUAUCACAAUAUUUUGAUGCAGGGAGCGCUUAUGGAUUUUUUAUUUAUAUUAUACUAGAUAUGAGUUGGGUGUCUAUUCUACUAGAGCUACGUUGUUUGAGGAUCUUGAGGUGAACUGGGUUUGGUGAGAUGUACUCAUUCUAUUAGCCUCAAUUA